GAUGAACGCUGGCGGCGUGCCUAACACUUGCAAGUCGAGCGAACGGACGAGAAGCUUGCUUCUCUGAUGUUAGCGGCGGACGGGUGAGUAACACGUGGAUAACCUACCUAUAAGACUGGGAUAACUUCGGGAAACCGGAGCUAAUACCGGAUAAUAUUUUGAACCGCAUGGUUCAAAAGUGAAAGACGGUCUUGCUGUCACUUAUAGAUGGAUCCGCGCUGCAUUAGCUAGUUGGUAAGGUAACGGCUUACCAAGGCAACGAUGCAUAGCCGACCUGAGAGGGUGAUCGGCCACACUGGAACUGAGACACGGUCCAGACUCCUACGGGAGGCAGCAGUAGGGAAUCUUCCGCAAUGGGCGAAAGCCUGACGGAGCAACGCCGCGUGAGUGAUGAAGGUCUUCGGAUCGUAAAACUCUGUUAUUAGGGAAGAACAUAUGUGUAAGUAACUGUGCACAUCUUGACGGUACCUAAUCAGAAAGCCACGGCUAACUACGUGCCAGCAGCCGCGGUAAUACGUAGGUGGCAAGCGUUAUCCGGAAUUAUUGGGCGUAAAGCGCGCGUAGGCGGUUUUUUAAGUCUGAUGUGAAAGCCCACGGCUCAACCGUGGAGGGUCAUUGGAAACUGGAAAACUUGAGUGCAGAAGAGGAAAGUGGAAUUCCAUGUGUAGCGGUGAUAUGCGCAGAGAUAUGGAGGAACACCAGUGGCGAAGGCGACUUUCUGGUCUGUAACUGACGCUGAUGUGCGAAAGCGUGGGGAUCAAACAGGAUUAGAUACCCUGGUAGUCCACGCCGUAAACGAUGAGUGCUAAGUGU
This 813-nucleotide ribosomal RNA is filed under the name uncultured Staphylococcus sp. RNAcentral's name for it is "bacterial SSU rRNA". It matches the Rfam family "Bacterial small subunit ribosomal RNA", at positions 28 to 823 of the family's 1533-position model. The record is from RNAcentral. Lineage: Bacteria; Bacillati; Bacillota; Bacilli; Caryophanales; Staphylococcaceae.